UCUUCUUCUUUCUUUCUCCAGCAAAAGCUAGCUCUGCGUCUUCCUUCUCUCACCACCACCACCACCACCGAUCUCUUCUCUUUCACCCCUCUCUAUACAAAAAGAUUGUUGAAUCUGUAUAUCUGAUCUUUCUCAAGUAAAAACCAUAAUAUUUCUUACAAGGUUAGGGUUUGAAUCCCAAAGAAAACUGCAGCUUAGGAGUUAUUCGAUAUUUUAAGGGUGGUUAGGGUUUUCAAUCUCUCGAGGAGUCGUCUUCAUCAAGCCUAUGAUAAUGGUAGAGAUGAUGCCCCACCUCAAUCAGAUGUUUAAAUGUUCAAGUUAAUUUCUUAAUCAAUGAAUUCUUCCCAAGGAUUAGGUUUUCAGAGUAGAAGACUUGAUUAUGGCAAUUCAAUGGCACCAAAGAGUAGAAAGCCCUAGCUCCCAAAAUCUUCAAAACCAGCUAAAUCUGGUGGUUGUAAACAAAAGAAGAACGCAGGAAGUUGUGGGAAAUCUAAUCCUUUUAUUCUUCUGAAAGGGCUAUGGUAUGAGUACCUUGAUAUCUUUAGUGUUGCCUUGUUGAUUAAUAUUUCAACUUAAUUUGAAACCUUUUCUUUAGAUAUGUCGUACGUAAAUUUUAGAAAAUUGUUUUCUUUGUAUACUCUAGGAUGUUAGAUUGAUUGAGUUAUAGCAUUUAUAUUUCGUUUAAAGUCUGUCUUAUUCGUUCAUGCUCUUGUGAUUGUUGUUAGCUAGGCUUGCUUGCAAUGUUGCAUCUCAAAAUCUUUGGGUGUUAUGUUUCUUCAUCCCAAGUCAUAAUGUUUGGUCGUGUUUUUCAUUAGUUUUAUGCCUCGACCAGUCACCAUGUGCUUAUUGGCUUUUGUUAAUGAAAUUCUUAGAUGAAACUAAUUUCCUUAGGAUACUUGAGUCUCUUUCUAGGUCAGGGUAUACAUUCCCGCUCGAGUUAUUUCUCAGUGUAUUGUUGGAGCCAUAUUUCCAUCUUUCAGUUGAAAUAUUUCCCAGUUUCCUACCACAGUGAGAAUAGCAUAUUGAAUAUCAGUAUCAUUUCUGGCAUUUGUUUAGUCUGAUAUGCAUAUAGAACGUAUGCAACUUUUAUGUGCUUCCCAAUAUUUUUUUUCAAUAGUUCUGUCUGUCCUAGGGUGUUCAAUUUAAUAUGCUAAGUGUCUAUUUUGUUAUCCUUGUGCAGAGCUUCUGCAAGUCUUUUGUACGUCGGCUUUCUCCGUUGCUUCUGAUGGUAUCCUCUUGGAGAUAUCCAUCAGGUAGAGUUGAGUCAUGUAUGUGUCCCAUUUGUUCCUUAUUUGUAAUAACCUUACAUCUGAACCCAAUAAUUGGAUUUACCACCACCAGAAAACGCACAUCAAGUGUGUGCAAAAUUUCUUGAACCAGGAGAAGCUGAAUAUCAGCAGACUAAAAUGGUUGUUGAGCUUGGUAGUCAUAUCAUUCAUGGUAUACAUGAUCAGAAUGGGAACCAUGUAAUUCAGAAGUGUAUCGAAUGCAUUAAGUAGAAAUUUGCUUCUAACGUUGUUAAGAAAUGUGUAACUUUUGGUGGUCCUGUUGAACGCCAGUUUUUGGUCAGUGAGAUGUUUUGUAUCUCCAAGUAUAUAUUGUUCUUCUACCUUGUGUCUGGCUAUAUACAAGUAUAUUUUUCUCGAGAAGCGAAUCCUAAAAUCAAAGCUAGACAUAGUAGUUGUUUGUUUCUUAUAUUAUUGUUUGGUUCCUUUUAUUGUGUAUUGCAAGAUAUGAUGAAUGAUCAAUUUGAUAACUAUAUAGUGCAAAAAGUACUGGAGACUCGUAAUGUUCAAAUACCUAGGUUAAAUACCUGUUAUUUAUAUGGUGGAUUUCCUUACGGUCCUCAAGAAGCUACACUGAGAAGGGGGGGUUGAUAUAGACUAUAGUGAUUGGAACUUCUAUAAGAAUAAAGUAGGUUUGGUGGAUUUGUGGAUGCUUCUUGAAGGUUUUUAAAAGGAGCUUCCAGUAUUAAUAAGGAUUUCUAUGCGUACCCUGCAAAAGCUAUCUUACCAUACUGUCAAGCACUAGAGAAGUUCGCUCCCUAUAGUUGAUCUCCACUUUUCUCAUGUCAGGUUGGAAGUGGUCCCUCGCUGGAUCUAGAAGCUCGUUUGCUUCGAUUAAUGGUUUGCCUGCAAUCAGAGUUACUACCUUGUAAUCUUAUUAGAGAGUAUCUGGAAUCAGAGUUCAAGAAAACACAAAAUUCUGGCAUAGCAUGUGGAACCAUCGUUGUUUGAGGCAUUAUUGGGGUCUCAGAGUCCAUGGAUAGCUCACCAAGACUGCUGGAUUUUCAAGGUUAUUGGUUCUAAAUGUUGGCCCUUGAUUUCAAGGUACCAGGCAAGAGCUAGUGAAGAAACUCAUAUUUGUGUCGCCCAUUUGCAUGGCUUAAGUGCUCAACAGCAAGAAAUAAGCUCUUUCAUGUUUGAUAUGAAUACAUGGAGGAGAAAAGGAAUGAAUAACUCCAGAGCUUCUGCAUUUUCAGUGAAAGUGGCGUGCGACAUUUAACACAUUGCUCUUGCUGGUUCCAGUAGAAAUGCCUCAUAAUCCAUGGUGACAACUUAAACUUAAACCUUUGGGCAUGCCUCAUGAUGCAACAGAGAUGUCCACCUAGGUAGAUGGUUUCUUUUUCCUUUAAAUUGUUAUGUAAGAACUUUGAUGUGAUAUUGAAUUUAUAGAUCUAUAUGAUUUUUGUAAUGUGCUUCAUACUUUGUGUAUGAGUUCAUCAUGGUGAAUUAAUAAGAAAACUUUCUUGAUA
Molecule: RNA transcript, 2755 nt
Organism: Papaver somniferum (opium poppy)
Lineage: Eukaryota; Viridiplantae; Streptophyta; Magnoliopsida; Ranunculales; Papaveraceae
Exons: 11
Source: RefSeq, a predicted model, not a curated record